RNAcentral lists this ribosomal RNA (467 nucleotides) under uncultured bacterium. Its description in RNAcentral is "partial 16S ribosomal RNA". It matches the Rfam family "Bacterial small subunit ribosomal RNA", at positions 28 to 506 of the family's 1533-position model. The record is from RNAcentral.
GACGAACGCUGGCGGCGUGCUUAACACAUGCAAGUCGAACGGAAAGGCCCUGCUUUUGUGGGGUGCUCGAGUGGCGAACGGGUGAGUAACACGUGAGUAACCUGCCCCUGACUUUGGGAUAACUUCAGGAAACUGGGGCUAAUACCGGAUAGGAGCUCCUGCUGCAUGGUGGGGGUUGGAAAGUUUCGGCGGUUGGGGUUGGAGUCGCGGCUUAUCAGCUUGUUGGUGGGGUAGUGGCUUACCAAGGCUUUGACGGGUAGCCGGCCUGGGAGGGUGACCGGCCACAUUGGGACUGGGAUACGGCCCAGACUGCUACGGGAGGAAGGAGUGGGGACUAUUGCACAAUGGGCGGAGGCCUGAUGCAGCGACGCCGCGUGCGGGAUGACGGCCUUCGGGUAGUAAACCGCUUUCGCCUGUGACGAAGCGUGAGUGACGGUAAUGGGGAAAGAAGCACCGGCUAACUACGU